GUCGACGUAGCUCAAUCAGGUAGAGCGCAUGAGCGGUCUGAAGCCGUCCCAUUUGGUUAUAGGUUCAAAUCCUAUCGGCGAUC
RNAcentral lists this transfer RNA (83 nucleotides) under Rhizobium sp. rho-1.1. Its description in RNAcentral is "tRNA-OTHER". It matches the Rfam family "tRNA". From Rfam's summary of the family: Transfer RNA (tRNA) molecules are approximately 80 nucleotides in length. Their secondary structure includes four short double-helical elements and three loops (D, anti-codon, and T loops). RNAcentral also lists the same sequence under 1 other name. Lineage: Bacteria; Pseudomonadati; Pseudomonadota; Alphaproteobacteria; Hyphomicrobiales; Rhizobiaceae. The record is from RNAcentral.